AAUUACAAGGAAAAAGUUUCAUCCAAUAGAAUCAAUCCUAAAGAAUUAGUUACUCAUGCUUACAAGUAACAAUGGAGGUGAAAUCAUGGUGGAAAUUGAUUCCAUGGAGAAGAAUUGGAGUGAUCUUUGCUUAAUCUUGCAUCCAAGAUCCAAGGAAAGGAUGAUCAAAGCUUCAAUGGUGAUGUUUCUCUUCAAUCCCUGCACCAAAAUUUGUAACCCUUUUCAAUUGGAAUCAUUCCCCUUUUAUAGAUCUCCAAAAUAGAGCUGUAACCGCCAAAUUUCGCCCCAUGCAGAAUUAAUUUCGCACCAGGCGAAAUUCAUUUAACACGUGGAAGCUUCUUACAUGCUGAAAAAUGGCUUCAGCGGGAAAUUCCACUUGAGGCGUAAUUCAGGCUUAAAAAUUCACACUAGGCGAAUUUUCCAUGUGUGAAGACAGAAACUGCUCAA
This 447-nucleotide long non-coding RNA is filed under the name Trifolium pratense (red clover). RNAcentral's name for it is "long non-coding RNA (TPRA_LNC001871)". Lineage: Eukaryota; Viridiplantae; Streptophyta; Magnoliopsida; Fabales; Fabaceae. The record is from RNAcentral.